CAGCCGCCGCGGUAAUACAGAGGUCGCGAGCGUUGUUCGGAUUCACUGGGCGUAAAGGGUGCGUAGGUGGUUGGUUAAGUUUGAGGUGAAAGCUCCGAGCUCAACUCGGAAAAUGCCUUGAAGACUAUCUGACUAGAGGAUUGGAGGGGAGAUUGGAAUUCUCGGUGUAGCAGUGAAAUGCGUAGAUAUCGAGAGGAACACCAGUGGCGAAGGCGAAUCUCUGGACAAUUCCUGACACUGAGGCACGAAAGCCAAGGGAGCAAACGGGAUUAGAUACCCCGGUAGUCUUGGCUGUAAACGGUGCGCACUUGCUGUGAGCGGAUUCGACCCCGCUCGUGGCGUAGUUAACACGAUAAGUGCGCCGCCUGGGAAGUACGGUCGCAAGAUUAAAACUUAAAUGAAUUGACGG
RNAcentral lists this ribosomal RNA (409 nucleotides) under Verrucomicrobia bacterium enrichment culture clone LiUU-17-720. Its description in RNAcentral is "bacterial SSU rRNA". It matches the Rfam family "Bacterial small subunit ribosomal RNA", at positions 509 to 916 of the family's 1533-position model. Lineage: Bacteria; Pseudomonadati; Verrucomicrobiota. The record is from RNAcentral.